AUAAGUAAUGAAAUCGAGCACUUUUUGUAUAUUUCAAUAGCCAUUUGGAUAUCCUCUCUGUAAGGUAUCAAAGUUUUUUGCCCACUUUUCCAUUGGGCUGUCCACCUUUUUCUAUUGAUUUAUGGAAGUUCUUUAUAUACUUGGGUAUAAGUACUUUGUCAGAAAUGUUUUGCAAAUAUUGUUUUCAUUCUGUGAGUGUCCGUUUUCUAUUCUCCUGAUAAGUAAAUGUUCUUAAUCUGUAAUAUAUCACACAUUUAAUCAAAUUUUGAAAUGUACUAGUUCUGUUAGUUCUAUUAAAAGCAAACUCUUCUUGCUGCCCAAAUAAUAGAAGAGCAGCCAAGUUUAAAUAGCACAGAUACACAAAGAAACUUCAAUGCAUCCAUCUCAGUCUUGUGCUCUCUGUUGAUCUACUGAAGGUGCAAGUUAAACUGUCUUUUUUUAGGUUGCCUAAGGCCUCUCUUGUUCUCUCGUUUCUUUCAAAAUUAGUUCUAGCCAUUAACAUGCAUAAAAAAAUCACCAGCUUUUGAAGGGCAAAAGAGCGUCAUUCAGUAAUUUAGGAAGAGAGUAGGGAAAAUAAUAGGGCAGAUUGUAAGGAGGACAGUUAUAAUUAGGAAGAGGUGGGAGGAUGCAAACAAAACCUGUGUGAACCUAACUGGAGUUCAAGAGCACACUCAGGAACUUGACCUACACAUAGGUAAGGGAUGACGUUACUGUGGUCAGUCAAUCAGUCGUUUAUUAACUACCUCUUGCUUUAUACUGUCCUGAUAGCUUUCCCCAUCUCUAUUUAAAUCCUCAUCAGAUUUGUGUUUAUUUAAAGCAAGGAUUGGCACCCAGUUCCGUCUCAAAGAUCCUUUGCCACAUCUGGCUAUCCUAGAAGAGACACGGAACCUCAAAACGGGGUGAGCGUGAUAUCCCUCCACCAUCCUAACCAGCGUGUGUCUUGAACUGCUGAGAACAGUGUUUUCUAGCUGGUGUUCUAGGAGCACAGAGACAUUUAAAGCUGGGAUGAAAGAAACCCAGAUAAUGAGAGGUCCCUGAAGCUAGGUCUUGAAGAAUGAGGCCUUCUCUGGGUAGAGAAGGAAGAAAAUGGCAGUGAGUUGCUUUUUUGUUUUUGUUUUUUCCAGUCGCUGGGUAUCACUCAGAAGGCAUCAUGAGUAAAAUCAGGGCUCUUUUACUCACAUAAAGCACUGUUUAUUUCAGCCAGUGGGCGUCUGUAAGGUUGGGAUUUAGUUCAUGGGAAAGGCACCUACAUUUUGGAUAAAAGGAGGGAAAGAAUAUCUACUUGGUCUGUCUUUGCUAUAUAUUGAUCAGGUAGUAUCUCAUAGAAUCUUCAGCAAAAAAUUAUGCACAAAGUGAACCAAGAUGCACCGCAGGUGGGCCCCGCAGGCAACCUCUGAGGGGAGAAGUUGGACUGUAAGACUAUGGAUCUAGUUUAGUCUUAGGCAGUAUCUCAGGUAAAUGAAUAACUAUAUAUAAAAAUCCGCCCCAAAGGCUGACAUUUUAAUUUGGACUUCUCUCUCAAGUGCUUGGGUUUUCUUCCAUUAAAAAUUAUAAUAACAAAAACAUGUAGAAAAUUCACACGUAGACAGGUAAACAUACUGAAUACAUUCCCUGCAAUCCUAAAAUACCCAAACAUGUCCUUGUUAAUUUCUUAGACUAGUGUUGUCCAGUAGAAACAAUGCAAAUCACAUACGAAAUUUUAAAUGUUUUAGUAGUCAUACUAAGAAAAGUAAACAUAGAGGGGUGAAAUUCAAUACCAUAUAUUAUUUCAUCUAAUAUACCCCAAAUAUCAUUUCAAUAUGUAAACGAUAAGAAGUUUAUUAAGGAGGGGAUUUUACAUUCAAUUUAUAUAUGGACUAAGUCUUUCCAACAGGUGUGUAUUUUACACUUAAAGCACAUCUCAUUUUAGACUAACCACAUAUCAACGGCUUAAUAGUCACAGGUGGCUGACAGCACCCAUAUUGGGCAGUAAGGAUAAUCUUAAAAGAGAGUAUUAAAAAUGGAGGAUGGGAGUUCCCAUCCUGGCGCAGCGGAAACGAAUCUGACUAGGAACCAUGAGGUUGUGCGUUCAAUCUCUGGCCUCGCUCAGUAGGUUAAUGAUCUGGUGUUGCUGUGGCUGCAGCGUGGGCCGGUGGCUACAGCUGCGAUGGGACCCCGAGACUGGGAAACUCCAUAUGCCGCGGGUGUGGCUCUGAAAAGACAAAAGGCCAGAGACAGAAAAAAAAAAAAAAAGGAGUAGGAAUACCUUUCAUAUCAUCAAUUUCACUUUAGAAUAGUUUUAGCUUUACAGAAAAGUCGGAAAGAUAAAAGUUUCUGUAUACCCUGUCCCUAGUUUUUCCUACUGAAUAGGUUUUCUUUUUCUUUUCUUUUUAGGCUUGCACCUGUAGCAUAUGGAAGUUCCCAGGCUAGGGGUUGAAUCGGAGCUGCAGCUGCCAGGCUACACCACAGCCGCAGUAACAUGGGAUCUGAGCUGCAUCUGCGACCUGUACCACAGCUCACGGCAAUGCCAGAUCCUUAACCCACUGAGCGAAGCCACAGAUUGAAUCCACACCCUCACGGAUGCUAGUCAGGCUUGUAACUCGCUGAGCCACGAUGGGAACUCCCAGGUUUAGGUUUUCCUAAUGUCCUUUUCCUCUGUCAUCUGGGACAUCACAUUACAUUUAGUUAUCAUGUCUCCUUAAGCUACUCUGGGCUGUGAAAAUUUCUCAGAUUUUCCUCGAUGACCAUGAUGAUUUUGAAGUCUGCUAGUCAGAUGUUUUAUAGAAUGUUCUUCACUUAGGUUUGUAUGAUCUAUUUUCUUUUAGUGAGGCUGGGGUUAUGGCUUUGGGGCAGGAGGACCUGCACAGGUGAAGUGCCAUUCUUGACACUGAUUAACGGGACAUAUGACCAGCACAUGAUUUAUGUUUAACAUGUUAAACAAUCGACUAGUUAAAGUAGUAUGCCAGGAUUACCCACUGUCAUUACUUUUCCCCCUUUCCAUAGUGUAUCCUUUUAAAACAAGUCACUAAGCAUAGUCCAUAAUUAAGGACUAUACAGAAGAGUGAGUAUUUCAUAGAUUAUUUGAGAUUCUUCUUAUAGGAGAUGUAUAAAACCUCUCAUUUUUUUAUUCUAUCAUUUAUUUAUAUCAGUGUGGACUUCAUUUUGUACUCAGGGGUAUAGGUAAUGCUACACUACUAAUUCCAUUAUUCAAGUUGUUCCAGCUUUGGCCACUGGGAGCUCUUUCAGCUGGCUUCUGUGUUUUUUGGGCAUAUCCUUCUAAUUUCCUAAUUCUGUUUUGAGCAAUUCCCUAAUUUCUGGCACUAUAAGAUACUCUUUGUUUACCUUGUAUAUUCUAUGCUUCAGCUCUAAAACUGGCCACUUAUCCAAGGAGUCUGGAAUAAUACUAUUCUGUUGGAGAAUAGCAUUAGAAACCAAGAUCAAGGCACUGGAUCAUAUUAUCUUUUGAUGGAAGAGUUCUACCCUCUGCUAUUUUGCACAGAGUAGUGUACACUUGAUGGACUCCACAUUUCAUUUAGAGCUUUCAGAUGGCCCAAAGGCCCACACCUUUCAAACCCCAUCUCUCACUUCUGCAGCAGCUGUGCCCUGAGAACGACCAGCUAUAUGUUAGUCCUUCAAACUAACCUCUCUUUCUUCAGAUAAAGAGUGCCAGGAGUUUUCAUUUGUUCACUAACUCCAGACUGAAGAUAUUCUGUGGCAAUCAGAAGAACUGAAAGAUAAUUGAAACAGGAGAGCUUUCUAGGGAACAUUUUCCAUCAAAACAUCAUCUUACAGAUUUAUCUAUCAUUGUGGACUGGCUCUCUGUUAGAAUGUUUCCCUUGAACUUGAAAAGACUAUGGAGAACUACACAACCACAUAGCAGCAACAACCACACCCAGUUUAUUCAGUGUUCCCUCUCAGACACUGGGCUAGUUAAUCUGCACCAUAAUCUCAUUUAAUCCUUUAAAAACACCACACAUAAGUGUUAUUUCCCAUACUAUUAUUCCUACUCUAUAGUUGAAGAAACUGAACUUGAAAGAUUCACUUGCCUAUGGCCGUGCAGUUAGAAAGACCAAGGUGGAGGUCUAGGUGCUAGUCUCUCUUCUCCCAUUAGCCUCAUUUAUCCCAACUCACUUGACCACUGCACGAUAUGGCCUGUUAUAGAGACAGUCUCCUCAAACUAUCUCACUUCACAGACUUAAAGGGGAUUCUUUCUAUUUGGGCUUAAUACAUAAGGCUUUACAUACAAUUUUAAGGAGAAAUAGUACUUGUAUUCAGAACACUCUCUUAAAUUUUGGCUCAACAACUGCAAUCACCAUAAAACAUAGCUGGAAGAUUAAACAAAAACUUAUCUAUAUAAAUCUUAUGAGAAGAGAGGGCAUAUUUGUUGGUAAAUUCUUUGCAGAAAGCAUAUUGUUGAAGAAGAAAAUAUACAAUUUGUUUUUAUAAUUCAAUUUUACAUAUGGACACUGAUAUAAAUAUGCAAAUUUGGUUGUAUACUAGUACUGUACUAACAGAUUUUCAUUUAUUAGUGAAAUGAAUAUUUCUUGUGGUAUUUCUUUCUUUUUUAAUUUUAUCUUGGAAAGCGGCAGCAUUGCAGAGUAGAAAACACAUAGGUUUGAGAACCAGAAAGAACUUCACUCAAGUCUUGACUCUGCCACUUAUUAGUUUAAUAUUUUCUUGGUUGGCUGUUCGCACAGCUUGGCAUGUGGAAGUUCUGGGGUAAGGGGGAAACCCAUGCCACAUCAAUAACCAGAGCCACAGCAGUGAAUUGGAUCCUUAACCUGCUGAGCCAUCAGGGAACUCCAGCUCUGCCACUUAAUACCUGAAUUCUUUUUAAAAAACUUCUUCAAUGUUCUGUUUCUCGGUUUCCUUAUUGGUAAAAUGAAAAUAACAGAGUAUUUUUAUGACGCACUGGUACCUGACCCACAGUUGAUCCCACUACUCUGCGAUGUUAUGUCCAAGGACACCAUGAUAACCUGCAGUGAGAGAUGAUGAUCCACACAACACAGGUUGAUGAGUUGAAAGUAGGUUGGACGCAUGAUGUCAUGUUAUGCUCAUGGAAAUCCUUAGAGGUGGGUAUUGCUCUUAGAGUCAAUUACAAAAUAAAAGACACAUGUAAAGACAUUUAUCAUAGAGAGUGAAGGGAAGGUCAGAAUUUGAACCUAGUUUUGUCAAAAGCCAAAAUAUGCAUUUUAAUCUUUGCACUAAUUUCUACCAUGAGCUCCACCAACACAGAUUAUGACCUGUCCCUACUUCCUUUCUCCUGCUGAACACUCAGUGAUGCACACUGGGAUCAAUAAAUAGCUGAAAGAAAACUAAUGAGUAAAUGAGAACUAGUCUCAUUUGCCCUUCUCUAGGGAAAAAUUUAGCCAAUUUAGGGAGGAAUGCCUUAAUCCUUAGGCCCACUUUUAUUCCCUUUUCUUUCUUGCCUGUAAAAAUGACUUUGUAACAAGCCUGAAACACGUACUGCUCAUUCUUUCGUGUAAAAACAGCACAAGCAAUCUCCAGACACACCCCAUUUAUAACGAAAAGGAUAAAUGACAAGUCUAUUGUGAAAGUUUUGAUCAGUCCUAUUAGCCAAGGUCCAAAGAAGAUUUUGUACAACCGUUUUGAAAAAACAAACCCAGGUGGAUUUUAUGCAGGUUUCUGCGCAUUUGCCUCACAAUGAAUGAUUGACACUUCAGAUUGACAAAAUGUCGAAUUCCUUCAAAGACUUCCAAACAGGAUGAAAUGGGAUAACUGCUUUUCAUGUUUCCAGAGAGACUGCUGACCUUAGUGAUUAACCUCUCCUUUGCCAAAUUAGUUAGGCAUUUUUCUUUCCACUCUCUUUACUCUUAGAGCUUCCCUGAGAAAUAAAAUAAUCUGGACUAGACUGGAGGUGCUGUUCUUGAACCAAUAUGGAGCACUGUGCCCACACAUGGCAUUAUAACCUAAUGAAUUCAUUGCACUUAAGCAGACAGUGAAUUGCCAAUCUGAAUCAUUUUUAAUCCGUGCAGCUUGGAGGAUGAUAUCAGAAUCUGACUCAUAUUUUUGAAAAAGGGGGUAUACCAUGGGGUUUACGGCAUUCUUUAGGUCUGUGAAAGUUCAACCCGUUCAGCCCCCAUUAAGAACCAGACCCUAGUAUUACAUAGUCUGACCCACAUCUUGAUUUGAAAUUCUGAAAAUUCUCAUUUGGUUGCAUGAGUCCUCAUCACUUCUAGGAUUUGGAAUGAGAUCUGCACACAGGUGGGAGAGGGAAUGUGUAGCAGGAAGAGAAAUUGGCACAGAAAUAAGAUAGGCCUGGUUUUAAGUCAUUGCUCUGCCACUUACUAGUGUGUACGCCAAUGUGGGCCAAUUUGUUUUAAUGGCUUCAGAAUAAAUCCCAAACCCCACCAGCACUUUUUCAAAUGUCUGCUAAUUGGUUUCACUGGAAAUCCUGCAGCGAUUAUUUGGAACAUUUGUUGCAAUUCUAUUACCAUG
Molecule: long non-coding RNA, 6438 nt
Filed under: Sus scrofa (pig)
Lineage: Eukaryota; Metazoa; Chordata; Mammalia; Artiodactyla; Suidae
Description: lncRNA (ENSSSCG00030020941.1)
Source: RNAcentral